UGACCAAUCACGCAAGUGGUAUUGGGGCUUGCCAGCUUUCGGCAUCCCUUAAAAAUAGUGGCGGUGCUAUAGGCUCUCAGCGUAGUAAUUAUUCCGCUCUUGAGUCCUAGACGUACUUGCCAAAACCCUAACUUUCUUAAGG
This 142-nucleotide unclassified non-coding RNA is filed under the name uncultured Arachnopeziza. RNAcentral describes it as "sequence contains ITS2". The record is from RNAcentral. Lineage: Eukaryota; Fungi; Ascomycota; Leotiomycetes; Helotiales; Hyaloscyphaceae.